Molecule: ribosomal RNA, 822 nt
Filed under: Ramularia uredinicola
Lineage: Eukaryota; Fungi; Ascomycota; Dothideomycetes; Mycosphaerellales; Mycosphaerellaceae
Description: eukaryotic LSU rRNA
Rfam family: Eukaryotic large subunit ribosomal RNA
Source: RNAcentral
AAAAGAAACCAACAGGGAUUGCCCUAGUAACGGCGAGUGAAGCGGCAACAGCUCAAAUUUGAAAUCUGGCGCAAGCCCGAGUUGUAAUUUGUAGAGGAUGCUUCUAGGUAGCGACCGGUCUAAGUUCCUUGGAACAGGACGUCAUAGAGGGUGAGAAUCCCGUAUGUGACCGGCCCGCACCUUCUACGUAGCUCCUUCGACGAGUCGAGUUGUUUGGGAAUGCAGCUCUAAAUGGGAGGUAAAUUUCUUCUAAAGCUAAAUACCGGCCAGAGACCGAUAGCGCACAAGUAGAGUGAUCGAAAGAUGAAAAGCACUUUGGAAAGAGAGUUAAAAAGCACGUGAAAUUGUUGAAAGGGAAGCGCUUACAACCAGACUUCUGGGCGGUGUUCCGCCGGUCUUUUGACCGGUCUACUCGCCGUCCCGAGGCCAACAUCAUCUGGGACCGCUGGAUAAGACCUGAGGAAUGUAGCUCCCCUCGGGGAGUGUUAUAGCCUCUGGUGAUGCAGCGCGUCUCGGGUGAGGUCCGCGCUUCGGCAAGGAUGUUGGCGUAAUGGUUGUCAGCGGCCCGUCUUGAAACACGGACCAAGGAGUCUAACAUCUAUGCGAGUGUUCGGGUGUCAAACCCCUACGCGUAAUGAAAGUGAACGGAGGUGGGAAGGGCAACCUGCACCAUCGACCGAUCCUGAUGUCCUCGGAUGGAUUUGAGUAAGAGCAUAGCUGUUGGGACCCGAAAGAUGGUGAACUAUGCCUGAAUAGGGUGAAGCCAGAGGAAACUCUGGUGGAGGCUCGCAGCGGUUCUGACGUGCAAAUCGAUCGUCAAAU